RNAcentral lists this ribosomal RNA (253 nucleotides) under uncultured bacterium. RNAcentral describes it as "partial 16S ribosomal RNA". It matches the Rfam family "Bacterial small subunit ribosomal RNA", at positions 524 to 776 of the family's 1533-position model. The record is from RNAcentral.
GACAGAGGGUGCAAACGUUGUUCGGAAUUACUGGGCGUAAAGCGUGUGUAGGCGGUCUCUUAAGUCGGAUGUGAAAGCCCCGGGCUCAACCCGGGAAGUGCACUCGAAACUGGGAGGCUAGAGUACUGGAGAGGUUGGUGGAAUUCUCGGUGUAGAGGUGAAAUUCGUAGAUAUCGUGAGGAACACCGGUAGCGAAGGCGGCCAACUGGACAGAUACUGACGCUGAGACACGAAAGCGUGGGGAGCAAACAGG